This is a non-coding RNA of Pristionchus pacificus, 61 nucleotides long. The record is from Rfam. NCBI's taxonomy places the organism in Eukaryota, Metazoa, Nematoda, Chromadorea, Rhabditida, Neodiplogasteridae.
UCUUCAUUUCCCGCACUAUCUCACCGGCCAGAGAGGCGAGAGAGUGUGUGAAAUGAAGAGA